This 672-nucleotide ribosomal RNA is filed under the name Klebsiella pneumoniae. RNAcentral's name for it is "bacterial SSU rRNA". It matches the Rfam family "Bacterial small subunit ribosomal RNA", at positions 823 to 1495 of the family's 1533-position model. The record is from RNAcentral. Lineage: Bacteria; Pseudomonadati; Pseudomonadota; Gammaproteobacteria; Enterobacterales; Enterobacteriaceae.
GUUGUGCCCUUGAGGCGUGGCUUCCGGAGCUAACGCGUUAAAUCGACCGCCUGGGGAGUACGGCCGCAAGGUUAAAACUCAAAUGAAUUGACGGGGGCCCGCACAAGCGGUGGAGCAUGUGGUUUAAUUCGAUGCAACGCGAAGAACCUUACCUGGUCUUGACAUCCACAGAACUUUCCAGAGAUGGAUUGGUGCCUUCGGGAACUGUGAGACAGGUGCUGCAUGGCUGUCGUCAGCUCGUGUUGUGAAAUGUUGGGUUAAGUCCCGCAACGAGCGCAACCCUUAUCCUUUGUUGCCAGCGGUUCGGCCGGGAACUCAAAGGAGACUGCCAGUGAUAAACUGGAGGAAGGUGGGGAUGACGUCAAGUCAUCAUGGCCCUUACGACCAGGGCUACACACGUGCUACAAUGGCAUAUACAAAGAGAAGCGACCUCGCGAGAGCAAGCGGACCUCAUAAAGUAUGUCGUAGUCCGGAUUGGAGUCUGCAACUCGACUCCAUGAAGUCGGAAUCGCUAGUAAUCGUAGAUCAGAAUGCUACGGUGAAUACGUUCCCGGGCCUUGUACACACCGCCCGUCACACCAUGGGAGUGGGUUGCAAAAGAAGUAGGUAGCUUAACCUUCGGGAGGGCGCUUACCACUUUGUGAUUCAUGACUGGGGUGAAGUCGUAACAGG